RNAcentral lists this long non-coding RNA (209 nucleotides) under Olea europaea (common olive). RNAcentral describes it as "long non-coding RNA (OEUR_LNC000305)". The record is from RNAcentral. Lineage: Eukaryota; Viridiplantae; Streptophyta; Magnoliopsida; Lamiales; Oleaceae.
GCAAUUAGUUUAACGUUUGUCGUUCAUACAAGUAUAAAUAGAUAGAAAAUACAAAGAAGCAGAAGCCCAAAUACUUGACAAAAAUUUUCAUUUCAUUUAAUAAAUUUAAGUACAGAGGGACCGUUGCCAUUACAAGAGGUAGCCCUAAUCUGCUGGAGGGACUUCUACACUGGCCGCCUCCUGGGCCUCCGGAGCCCCCUCGACAACCC